AAUCGAUACCAAUAGUUGCCUGAUUAUCAAUUAAAGACACAAAUAAGUUUGGAAGAUGAGAAACAAAUUAAGCAGUGAAAGAAACAGCAUCAUGUAAUGAAUUUUGUAAAGUAAAAUAGUACAAUUUAAAUGAAAUGACGUUCCGAUGAUCCAUAAGAGGUAUGUUAGUGUGAACAGAUGCCCAAAAAAGGCAGUGCAGGUCUAUGGCUUAUCACCAUGGCUUCCAAAAUGUUGCACUCAUGUUACUAAACCAUCAAUUAAACCCAAGAAUUUCAAACCCGGCCCAAUCAAUGAAGACACAAGGUUAAAGAUUUAAGGUUCAACAGGGAUUAAACUGAGGUUUAAAUGGAAUAAUAUUAAAUAAAUAUUAAAUAUAUCAUAAAAUUAAUAAUUUCUUUAAAAA
This 403-nucleotide unclassified non-coding RNA is filed under the name Hevea brasiliensis (rubber tree). Lineage: Eukaryota; Viridiplantae; Streptophyta; Magnoliopsida; Malpighiales; Euphorbiaceae. The record is from RNAcentral.